GCCAGCAGCUAUAUCACUCUGCAACUCACAACUGACAGCCCACUGAAGCUCAGCAGGUGUGAGCCUGGUCAGUACCUGGAUGGGAGACCUCCUGGGAAAAACUAAGGCUGCUGCUGGAA
Molecule: ribosomal RNA, 119 nt
Organism: Lepisosteus oculatus (spotted gar)
Lineage: Eukaryota; Metazoa; Chordata; Actinopteri; Semionotiformes; Lepisosteidae
Source: Rfam